Long non-coding RNA from Leopardus geoffroyi (Geoffroy's cat), 4070 nucleotides. RefSeq lists it as uncharacterized. The record is from RefSeq and is a predicted model, not a curated record. The transcript has 4 exons. NCBI's taxonomy places the organism in Eukaryota, Metazoa, Chordata, Mammalia, Carnivora, Felidae.
GACAGUCCUUUGCUUUUCCAGACACGAGUAACCUUAGGAAUGCUUUGCUUCAUUCUAGGUCAGGCUGCCUGCGGAUAUAGCCCCUUUCCUCGGCUGCCUUAUUGCCAGUUACAUUAAAUACAGUCCAUGACAAGAGUUUAUUGAUACUCUACGGCAGUCAACAUCCAUUGAUGAUGGUGAACGUCAUCCUACACAAUAACCCUUCUCUCCCUGGUCUCUCUCACACCAGCCAUGAAGGUUUUCAAAGCCACACGGCACAAUCAAGGGAGCACGACACACAGCUUAGCGAUCGUGAUCUGUGAACCUCUCCUCGCUGGAACCUUCUCAGGUAAUUCUUUCCCCCAGGAGGCUCCGGGAAUGCUGGGAUUUUUUUGCCAUCCUGCCGAAAGGGAAGAAGGUCCCCGAAAUGCCGCGUGAAAUGGAUUCACCGAGCCCGUGCCUGGGAAGCAGCCCCGCCCGUUCCUUUUCAAGACCCAGUGCCGCCGUGGCCUGACAAGCGGUAAGAAAUGUGAUAAUAAAGGCGACGAGCCACUCCGGGGCUGGAUUUCAUUUCCAGCUUAAUUAAAUCCUAGAAACACACCUGGCCUCCAGCUUCGAAGCGCUGCCACAAAAGCCAGGUGCCCCCCUCGGCUCGGGCUCGCCCCGCAGCGAUGGUGGGAAGCCAGGCUGAAAGGAGAAGGCGGAGGGAGGCCGCAGCCGGGGCAGAUGAAACGGUGGAGUCAGGAAGCAAUAUUUCAGAGAAAGCCGUUUCAUCCGGCGCGCAAUCCAUUUGCCCUUCUGCUUCAAAGGUGAGCGGCACAGCUAACCUGCAAACGUGCUGAAUUGAGACUCCUCCAGGGGCACCCUGCCGCCCCUGCCACCUGUUCCCCCCAUGCCAGGUCCUCGAUGGUUCCCUGCCCACCCCUCCAUCCCCGUUGUGGUGAACUGGGGACAAAAUGCGCUUUGGUGGCGCAAGUCCUGACCGGUCCCCGGUACUCUGGGUGGUCCGGCUUCUCCCACAUUUACAAACUUCUGGUUACUUCUGGUUCGUCAGUCCCUGUGGCCAGCCGAUGCUGCCCGGGGCCUCUUUGUCCUGUUAUCCCAGAGACCCGAGAUUCUCUUAAAUGUGACUAAAGAGGAAAAAUCCUUGUUGUGAUUUACGGAGCCCAGGAAUUUGCAAGGUGCUUGCGUGACAUCACCUCCCCAGUUUUCGCCACCACUUGUGAUGAAUUGCCAGGGUUUCACAGGUGAAGAAAUGGGGCUCCAAAAGAGCAGGAUGAUGAGGAAAAUAACCAGCUAACACAGGCAAGUUACAGAAUAUUGACGAGCCAACACGGUGCAUAUUCAUUUGUUGAAUAAAUGCGUCGGACUGUCUGAACAGCCUCAUCUCCGGGAAGUUAUAAAUCAGGGAAGGAUGCGCUGCAGUAUCAUGAUGGAAGAUUUUUAGUUUCCUGUAGAGGAGCGACACCAUCAAGAUGGCAACAUAGGUCAUUCCUGACCUUUGUCCCUUCCAUGAGAAGCCUCCGUAGCCAUCAUCCAUAGGCGAGACACCAUUGUGCAAAUCCCAGAACCCCCCGGAUCUCAGAGACUGGGAAUGGGAAUGACUGCAUUCGGAGGACAAGAGGAGCGUCUGCACUCUGACUGCAUUGCCCGUCCCCCAGGACAGCACAGCCACAUACCAAGAGGGCCUCUCCAGGCCAAUAGCUUUUGUGGGAACGAGACCCCCAGUGGACAUCCAGCCACCCCAGCAUUGUGGGACACUUCUGGAGAGGCCCACUUGGAUCUCGCCUCAUGGGGAUCCCUGGGAGAUUCUGCAGGAUCACUGGGGGAAUCUUGACCACCGGGGAUCAGAUAGUGAUGGAGGAGGAGGCUGGGACUUACAGCAACCAAUGCCCAGAUGUUGGCAGACUGCAUUCCUGCUUGCCACGGCACCUGAACAGAGAUCGCAUCUAGUGCCUCUGCCCAUCUACAGAGCUGAGCUGGUGCCCCCGUCUGGUCAGGGAACUUGCUGGACAGUUCUGCCUGACUUGGGUCCCCAGUCAAUGAGCCUGACCAUCUAAGGAAUCCGCUCUACAGUCCUACUUGGGCAAGGAACCAGAUUCUUAACCCCACCCAAAUACUGAGUAUAGACGCAAGUCCCAACCGACCAGGAAUGCUGCACAGGGAACCUGGGUAGCCACAGAGCUCAUCCCAUAAUCCCACUUGGGUGGAGAGCCAAGCCAGCAGCCCUGCCCAGCUGAUGAACGUAGCCUCUGGCCACACAUGUGAACAUGGCCUAUAGUACCGCCUGGCCACGGAGCCCAGCCUUCAGCUCUGCCUCACAAUAGAGCCUAGCCCAUGGCCUUGCCUGAUUGCUGAACACAGCCCGAGGCCUCUCCUGGGUGGAUAGCCCGGACAGUGACCACUCAGUUAUGUAGCAAAGUCUCUAAUCCCACCUAAUAGCAGGCUUAGCUAGAGGCACCUCUCGAUCGGGGCACCCAGACAGCAACCUUGCCCAAAAGCAGAGCGCGGAUAUGGGUCUGUCUGAUCACAAAGCCCGGCCUGUGGCCCCCACCAACUUCAGGGCACAGUCUAUCGUCCCACCUGAUUGCAGAGCACAGCUAGUUGGACGGGGCGUCCAACUGUGAAGCCCUGCCUUUAGCUCUGCCUGAAUGUGGAGUCCAGCCAACAGUAGCAUCCAGUUGGGGAGCACACCCUGAGACCACACCUGACCCGGAGUGAUGUGGAUCCCAGCCCGUAGACUUCCCAAACACAUAGUCCAGCUGUGGCACCACUCUGCUAGGGAACACAGCCUGUGACCUCGUCUGACCAGAGGCGAUUGCAGAGCCCAGCCGGUGGCCCCACCUGACUGGGGAGCCCAGCCAGCGGAACCCCCAGCUAACCUCAGAGCACAGGCAGUGGCCUCACCCAACUAGAAACCCUGACAGCAAGCCCAGCCCUCACACAGACACUACCAGCCGACCUGUCCAAGACCCCAAGCUGAGCUAUGGUGAAGGACUGUCCCUGCCAAAGUGAACCUGUAAGGGCUGGACGAGGAGACUGCUCACUCAAGUGCACAGAGGCCAACGCAAGGAAUCAAGAAUCAUGACGACAACCAAACAUGACACAACCAAAGGAAACUAAUAAAGAUCUACACACAGACCCUAAGAAAUGGAGAUCUGUGAACUGUCUGGCGAAGAAUUCAGAAUAGUCAGAAUUCAGAAUGUAAAUGGGUGCAGCCACUAUGGAAAACAAUAUGGGGGUUCCUCAAAAAAUUAAAAAUUGAACUACCCUAUGAUCCAGCAGACCCACUUCUGGGUAUGAUCUGAAGGCAAUGAAAUCAGUAUCUGGAAGAGAGAGCUGCACCCCCAGGUUCAUUGCCCCAUUAUUUACAAUAGUCUAGACAUGGAAACAAGCUAAGUGCCCAUUGUCAGAUAGGUAAGGACAACGUGAUGUGUCAUUUUUAAUCACAAAUAGUUUUAUUGGGACAUUUGUCUUUUCCUUAUUGGUUUGUAUUUUUCAAAUGGAACUAGUCAAAUGUUAAAAAAUAGAAACUGUACAGCACAUUUUUUGUUUUUAUUUUUUUCAUCUUGAUUUUUGCGAGGUUCAGUUGCCGGUUCUGCCAGGUAAUGACAGAAUAAGCUUGGGAUCGUCACUUAACCUCUCUGACACUCGGUAUUCCCAUCAGUGGAAGGGGAACAAGAAAACCUGUCUGCAUCAUUUUGGGGUUUAAGUGGAAUAACAUACUUAAAAUACUUUGGCGACCUUUUGUGAUCGUGUAUACUUUUGGUGCUCUCAUAAAGCCCUACCGGACUUCUCAGGACAAUCACUUUAAAUUCGUAAAACGAAAUACAUAGAACUAUAAAGGAAGCCAAUUAAAUUACAGUUACCAAAAAACUUUUAAAGCAAGUUUGUGAUAGAAUACCAUAUGUAUUUCUUCGUUAAUGUUAAAAAUGAAAAUAUCAAGCCGAUCUAUAAGUACUAUAACUAGUAGUGAAACACAUAAAUAGUAUUUUAAUGUAUCCGCCAAACGAAUACAUGAAAAUAUCUGUCGGGGCGCCUGGGUGGCUCAGUCUGUUGAGCGUCCAACUUCGGCUCAGGUCAUGAUCUCA